RNAcentral lists this ribosomal RNA (537 nucleotides) under Metacrangonyx sp. 5 MDMBR-2012. RNAcentral's name for it is "16S ribosomal RNA". It matches the Rfam family "Bacterial large subunit ribosomal RNA", at positions 1937 to 2710 of the family's 2925-position model. The record is from RNAcentral. Lineage: Eukaryota; Metazoa; Arthropoda; Malacostraca; Amphipoda; Metacrangonyctidae.
UAUCUUGACCGUAGUAAGGUAGCAUAAUAAAUUGUUUUUUAAUUGAAAACUGGAAUGAAAGGCUACACAAUUUACAGACAUACAAGACCUAAUCCAUGAAUUUUUACUAUAAGUAAAAAUACUUAUAUAUUAUAAAGGGACGAUAAGACCCUAGAAGCUUUAGUUUUAUCUACAUAAAGUAGUCAUAUUUAGUUCUUAUGUGAUUAAUAACUUUGGUUGGGGAAACAAAAAUUUUUAAAAUAAUUUUAUAGUGUAAUAAGUCUUGUUAUUUUAAGAUCUUUUAAAUAAAAACGAGUGGAAAAAGUUACUCUAGGGAUAACAGCGUAAUAGUUUUGGUUAGGCCAUAUAUAUAAAAUUGUUUGCGACCUCGAUGUUGAAUUAAAAUUUCUUUAUAAAGUAGGUAUUAUAUAAGAGGGUUUGUUCAACCCUUAAAAUUUUACAUGAUUUGAGUUCAGACCGGUUUAAGCCAGGUCGGUUUCUAUCUUUUAUUAAAAUUAAAUUUUUUUAGUACGAAAGGACCAAAAUAUUUUAAUAAUU